RNAcentral lists this transfer RNA (70 nucleotides) under Limnonectes fujianensis (Fujian large-headed frog). RNAcentral describes it as "tRNA-Thr". It matches the Rfam family "tRNA". Rfam says of the family: Transfer RNA (tRNA) molecules are approximately 80 nucleotides in length. Their secondary structure includes four short double-helical elements and three loops (D, anti-codon, and T loops). Lineage: Eukaryota; Metazoa; Chordata; Amphibia; Anura; Dicroglossidae. The record is from RNAcentral.
GUUUUGAUAGCUUAACUUAAAGCAUCGGCCUUGUAAGCCGAAGACUGUAGCAUAAACCCUACUCAAAACU